Molecule: ribosomal RNA, 490 nt
Filed under: uncultured bacterium
Lineage: Bacteria
Description: partial 16S ribosomal RNA
Rfam family: Bacterial small subunit ribosomal RNA
Source: RNAcentral
AUUGAACGCUGGCGGCAGGCCUAACACAUGCAAGUCGAACGGAAACAGGAAGAAGCUUGCUUCUUUGCUGACGAGUGGCGGACGGGUGAGUAAUGUCUGGGAAACUGCCUGAUGGAGGGGGAUAACUACUGGAAACGGUAGCUAAUACCGCAUAACGUCGCAAGACCAAAGAGGGGGACUUUCGGGCCUCUUGCCAUCGGCUGUGCCCAGAUGGGAUUAGCUAGUAGGUGGGGUAACGGCUCACCUAGGCGACGAUCCCUAGCUGGUCUGAGAGGAUGACCGGCCACACUGGAACUGAGACACGGUCCAGACUCCUACGGGAGGCAGCAGUGGGGAAUAUUGCACAAUGGGCGCAAGCCUGAUGCAGCCAUGCCGCGUGUAUGAAGAAGGCCUUCGGGUUGUAAAGUACUUUCAGCGGGGAGGAAGGGAGUAAAGUUAAUACCUUUACUCAUUGACGUUACCCGCAGAAGAAGCACCGGCUAACUCCGUG